AUAUUGAAAAAUCCCUUGACCAGUACUUGCAUCCCAUAACUGGAAUCCAUCCAAGUAAAUCAUUUCAUGAGCAAUGAAGCAAGUUGAUAAAUAAGAAGAACAUAUCCCCUCCAUAGAACAUCAGAAAUAUACAGGCGAAAACAGAAACAAGCAGCCUGUAACACAUACAUGUGUGGACAUUUAAAGAGAGUGAGUGAUUAACAGGCAGAGGUGACUAUAUGAGACAACAUGAACCAGCAGUACACACUUCAAUAAGUUGACAAACCUCAAGUACCAGAUGUGAAAUAAACCCCCUAGCAUAUUCUUGGAGUUAAUCCAAUUAGUUUUUUAAGAUGCUGUUUGAAACUAUCAAGUCUUAACUCAAUUUUGGAAAAAGCAAAUAUGUAUGUAAGACAAUUAUGGGAGCGAAAAAGUUAUUACAUGUGGAUUAAGCGAGUAUGAACAUUGCUAAUUCAAGAGAAAAAUUCCGAGUGAGACCAUCAACUUGAUUAGGAAACUCAACCUAUUCUAGGCCACAUUUGGUAAAGAUGCAAUGAAGAAUGCAAUGUAAUAUAAUUUAAUGUAAUUGUCUUUUUAUACCCAUAUUUGGUUGCAAAAAUAAAAAUGCAUGUAAUUUAACGCAUGGUUUCAAAUCGCGGUCACGGAUAACAGAAAUAGACCUAUAACGGCCAUAAUUUAAUAGUAUUAUAACAGUAACGGCCUAGUGCUACACAAAUUUUUU
This 721-nucleotide unclassified non-coding RNA is filed under the name Hevea brasiliensis (rubber tree). Lineage: Eukaryota; Viridiplantae; Streptophyta; Magnoliopsida; Malpighiales; Euphorbiaceae. The record is from RNAcentral.